Catharus ustulatus (Swainson's thrush) is the source of this 934-nucleotide long non-coding RNA. RefSeq lists it as uncharacterized. The transcript has 4 exons. NCBI's taxonomy places the organism in Eukaryota, Metazoa, Chordata, Aves, Passeriformes, Turdidae. The record is from RefSeq and is a predicted model, not a curated record.
AAGGCCUGAGGCAAUGUACAGCACUGCUCUUGCUGUGCCACGAGUGUGGACCCAGAGCGCCUUGCAGGAUACAAGAAUUCAGCAGGGAGACACACAGGGGACAGCAGGAAUGAUUCUUUAAACUGGAACCUCAGCCAAAUGUCAACAGAAUUUCGGUCCCAGGCCUACUUGAUCUUGUCCAUUUGGCACUGCUGGAGGAAUAACAAGUUUCUUCCCGUCAUGCACCUUCCUGGGAUACAUCAUGACAGAGAAAUCUCAAAGCCCAGGUCAAUUAUAACAGAAGAUGUGUAGCACCUCUGCCCCCACAGCGUCUUCUGGGGAUCCACUUGGCAAAAUGAUAUAAAACUAUUUUCGAAGACUUCCCAUGAUCUAGCACUACUCAGAACUAAGUGGUUGGCAAAAUGCAAGGAAAUAUGAAUAUGCAGCUCAGCUCAUCUCCUUCUGUUUGCCAAGGAGCCAACCAACAUUUCCUGUGAGGAGGGGCCUGAGGCUGCAGAGUCCUCACCGAAAGUGCCUUCAUCACCCUGGCAGUCCAAAGCGCUGGGGCUCCUGCUGGUGCUCUCCAUGCAGGAAGCGGCGCCUUUGAACAGUGCGAGCACUCACCAGGCAGAGGAAGCUGGAAAAUUUGGGGUAACUCUUGCCUUUUGGGGGAAGCUGAAGCAUCACCCUUCAGUCCUGCUUCCUGCUGCAGGCACUGUCUGUGCCAUUCAUGUGGAGCACUGGUUUGGUGACAGCCAUGGACUGGAACUGUAGGACAUGGUCUCCCUUUGGAAAAUGGGGUGGUUUUGAUGGAGAGAAUCAGAUGUGCCUUCAGUGCAGCCCUGCUCUGGACAGCUUGCAGAAGGACGGAGGUCUGCCUGAAGUUACAGCAGCAGAAGAGGGGACAGUCUCACAGGUCAGCACUCAGCAAGAUGUGGCACAAAGCACCACCCAA